This is a long non-coding RNA of Myripristis murdjan (pinecone soldierfish), 272 nucleotides long. RefSeq lists it as uncharacterized. The transcript has 3 exons. The record is from RefSeq and is a predicted model, not a curated record. Lineage: Eukaryota; Metazoa; Chordata; Actinopteri; Holocentriformes; Holocentridae.
CUAUUGUAGGUGUGUAUGUCCUGGACAAAAUUGAAUUUAAGACUGCAUUUAACAAGGUUUGUUUUCCUUCUUUUAGACUUCCCGUGUGAGGCGUUCGCCGAAAGGUGUUGCCACAAGGCGUAGAGGAGGAAAGCGGCAGGUGCUGGCAACACCUUCACCUGCCCGUGUGACCGUGCCUGCCUCCGGCCCCAGACCAGCGGUGCAGCAGGUGGAGGCGACAGCCCAGGAGUCGUCCAGCGUGGUGCCAGGGGUGGUCGUCGUCCGGGAGGAGC